GUUUGAUCCUGGCUCAGAAUCAACGCUGGCGGCGUGCCUAACACAUGCAAGUCGAACGAGAAAGGGUAGCAAUACCUGAGUAAAGUGGCGCACGGGUGAGUAACACGUGACUAACCUACCUUUGAGCGGGGGAUAACCUAGGGAAACCUGGGCUAAUACCGCAUAAUACCUACGGGUCAAAGCGAGCAAUCGCACUUAAAGAGGGGGUCGCGGCAGAUUAGCUAGUUGGUGAGGUAAUGGCUCACCAAGGCGAUGAUCUGUAUCCGGCCUGAGAGGGCGCACGGACACACUGGAACUGAAACACGGUCCAGACUCCUACGGGAGGCAGCAGUGGGGAAUUUUGCGCAAUGGGGGAAACCCUGACGCAGCAACGCCGCGUGGAGGAUGAAAUCCCUUGGGAUGUAAACUCCUUUCGAUCGGGACGAUAAUGACGGUACCGAUAGAAGAAGCCCCGGCUAACUUCGUGCCAGCCGCCGCGGUAAUACGAAGGGGGCUAGCGUUGUUCGG
This 507-nucleotide ribosomal RNA is filed under the name Durinskia baltica. Its description in RNAcentral is "partial Bacterial small subunit ribosomal RNA". It matches the Rfam family "Bacterial small subunit ribosomal RNA", at positions 11 to 548 of the family's 1533-position model. The record is from RNAcentral. Lineage: Eukaryota; Dinophyceae; Peridiniales; Kryptoperidiniaceae.